AGACGGUUUUCUAUGGCUUUUCUGUGGCUUUCUUUUUUGUACCUUGUGAUGUUCCAGAAAGCCGUGGGUGCAUUGUUCAGGGCCACUCCCAGGCCAUCAGUGGCCACAGGGUGGCCCUUGUGGUCACCUGCAUGGAUGGUUAAUGCCAGGGAGAGGCAGGGGUGCUGGAUUGGAGAGAAGCACUGGCAGUCCUGGGAGCAUAGUCAGAAAUCGGGGUCUUCCUUCUCCUAGGAUGCUCUGCUACCAACUCGCCUGCUGUGGGAGCUGUGACUGGAAUGUAUUAUCAGGACGGUCACAAGAAAACCCUUGUGUGAAUGGAGAGGCACAAAGCAAAGAGCCCACUCGUCAUGUGUACUACUUCCCCUGGGCUCUGUCAUCACUCAGCGGCAGCCACAUUACACACAGUUGCUCCUGUACCAACUCUCCCAGGGAACGCAGGCAUCGAUCUGUCUCCUUCUCCAGAUGUGUUAUCCAAGAAGUGACUUUCGUACAGAAGAUCAGGGUUGGGUACCUCGAGAGGGCCGGAGAUCACAUAAAACAAAGAAAUUCCUCCAUCUGGAUGACGAUGAAGUAGGCUGGUGGGAAAGGCAAAGAGAGUUGGAACAGCCUUCAUGGUUUAAU
This is a long non-coding RNA of Ictidomys tridecemlineatus (thirteen-lined ground squirrel), 621 nucleotides long. The record is from Ensembl. Lineage: Eukaryota; Metazoa; Chordata; Mammalia; Rodentia; Sciuridae.